GAUGAACGCUGGCGGCAGGCUUCAUACAUGCAAGUCGAGCGGAAAGGCCCCUUCGGGGGUACUCGAGCGGCGAACGGGUGAGUAACAGGUGGGUAAUCUGCCUUUCGGAGGGGGAUAACGGCUGGAAACGGCCGCUAAUACCCCGUACGGUUGUGAAGCUCUCGGGCUUUGCAAAGAAAGGGGCCUUUAAAGCCCCGCCGAAAGAUGAGCCCGCCCCCCAUUAGCUAGUUGGCGGGGUAAUGGCCCACCAAGGCUGUGAUGGGUAGCCGAGCUGAGAGGUUGAUCGGCCACACUGGAACUGAGACACGGUCCAGACACCUACGGGUGGCAGCAGUAGGGAAUAUUGCGCAAUGGGCGAAAGCCUGACGCAGCCAUGCCGCGUGGAUGAUGAAGGCCUUCGGGUCGUAAAGUCCUUUUCUGAGGGAAGAACUGCCGGGGGAGGAAAUGCCCUUGGCUUGACGGUACCUCAGGAAUAAGCAACGGCUAACUCCGUG
This 494-nucleotide ribosomal RNA is filed under the name uncultured bacterium. RNAcentral's name for it is "bacterial SSU rRNA". It matches the Rfam family "Bacterial small subunit ribosomal RNA", at positions 28 to 507 of the family's 1533-position model. The record is from RNAcentral.